This 440-nucleotide ribosomal RNA is filed under the name uncultured bacterium. RNAcentral describes it as "bacterial SSU rRNA". It matches the Rfam family "Bacterial small subunit ribosomal RNA", at positions 338 to 773 of the family's 1533-position model. The record is from RNAcentral.
CCUACGGGUGGCUGCAGUCGAGAAUCUUCGGCAAUGGGCGCAAGCCUGACCGAGCGACGCCGCGUGCGGGAUGAAGGCCCUCGGGUUGUAAACCGCUGUCGUAGGGGAGGAAUGGCCGGAAGGUUCUCCUUCCGGUUUGACCUAUCCUAGGAGGAAGUCAGGGCUAAGCUCGUGCCAGCAGCCGCGGUAAGACGAGCCUGACAAACGUUAUUCGGAAUCACUGGGCUUAAAGGGUGCGUAGGCGGCGCGGAGGGUGGGAUGUGAAAUCCCACGGCUCAACCGUGGAAUUGCGUCCCAAACCGCCGUGCUCGAGGAAGAUAGAGGUGAGCGGAACAGAUGGUGGAGCGGUGAAAUGCGUUGAUAUCAUCUGGAACACCCGUGGCGAAGGCGGCUCACUGGGUCUUCUCUGACGCUGAGGCACGAAAGCUAGGGUAGCGAAC